GACGAACCGUGCGAACGUUGUUCGGAAUCACUGGGCUUAAAGGGCGCGUAGGCGGGCCGCCAAGUUCGAGGUGAAAUCCUCCGGCUCAACCGGAGAACUGCCUCGAAUACUGGAGGCCUCGAGGCGGGUAGGGGCGUGCGGAACUGUGGGUGGAGCGGUGAAAUGCGUUGAUAUCCACAGGAACUCCGGUGGCGAAGGCGGCACGCUGGACCCGAUCUGACGCUGAGGCGCGAAAGCCAGGGGAGCAAACGGG
Molecule: ribosomal RNA, 253 nt
Filed under: uncultured bacterium
Lineage: Bacteria
Description: partial 16S ribosomal RNA
Rfam family: Bacterial small subunit ribosomal RNA
Source: RNAcentral